This 253-nucleotide ribosomal RNA is filed under the name uncultured bacterium. RNAcentral describes it as "partial 16S ribosomal RNA". It matches the Rfam family "Bacterial small subunit ribosomal RNA", at positions 524 to 776 of the family's 1533-position model. The record is from RNAcentral.
UACGUAGGUGGCAAGCGUUGUCCGGAUUUAUUGGGUUUAAAGGGUGCGUAGGCGGUUCUAUAAGUCAGUGGUGAAAUCCGGCAGCUCAACUGUCGAUGUGCCAUUGAUACUGCAGAACUUGAGUACAGACGAGGUAGGCGGAAUUGACGGUGUAGCGGUGAAAUGCUUAGAUAUCGUCAAGAACACCGGUAGCGAAGGCAGCUUACUAGACUGUAACUGACGCUGAUGCACGAAAGUGUGGGGAUCAAACAGG